CCUUCGGGGUUAGCGGCGGACGGGUGAGUAACACGUAGGCAACCUGCCUGUAAGACUGGGAUAACUGCCGGAAACGGUAGCUAAGACCGGAUAAGUGAUUCUCUUGCAUGAGAGGAUCAAGAAACACGGGGCAACCUGUGGCUUACAGAUGGGCCUGCGGCGCAUUAGCUAGUUGGUGGGGUAACGGCUCACCAAGGCGACGAUGCGUAGCCGACCUGAGAGGGUGAUCGGCCACGCUGGGACUGAGACACGGCCCAGACUCCUACGGGAGGCAGCAGUAGGGAAUCUUCCGCAAUGGACGCAAGUCUGACGGAGCAACGCCGCGUGAGUGAUGAAGGUUUUCGGAUCGUAAAGCUCUGUUGCCAGGGAAGAACGUCGCGGAGAGUAACUGCUCUGCGAAUGACGGUACCUGAGAAGAAAGCCCCGGCUAACUACGUGCCAGCAGCCGCGGUAAUACG
Molecule: ribosomal RNA, 458 nt
Filed under: uncultured bacterium
Lineage: Bacteria
Description: bacterial SSU rRNA
Rfam family: Bacterial small subunit ribosomal RNA
Source: RNAcentral